GUCUCUGUGGCACAGUGGGUCACCGCGUUCGGCUGCUAACCGAAAGGAUGGUGGUUUGAGCCCACCCAGGGAUG
RNAcentral lists this transfer RNA (74 nucleotides) under Chelonia mydas (Green sea turtle). It matches the Rfam family "tRNA". Rfam says of the family: Transfer RNA (tRNA) molecules are approximately 80 nucleotides in length. Their secondary structure includes four short double-helical elements and three loops (D, anti-codon, and T loops). Further hydrogen bonds mediate the characteristic L-shaped molecular structure. tRNAs have two regions of fundamental functional importance: the anti-codon, which is responsible for specific mRNA codon recognition, and the 3' end, to which the tRNAs corresponding amino acid is attached (by aminoacyl-tRNA synthetases). tRNAs cope with the degeneracy of the genetic code in two manners: having more than one tRNA (with a specific anti-codon) for a particular amino acid; and 'wobble' base-pairing, i.e. permitting non-standard base-pairing at the 3rd anti-codon position. Lineage: Eukaryota; Metazoa; Chordata; Testudines; Cheloniidae. The record is from Rfam by way of RNAcentral.